UCUCAUCAGUUUCUCUUCAGAUUGUAUAAAUCUUUCCCCUUUUACUAAAGAUUUCCAUGGAGAGGAACAAUUAUGAGUUUUUAACGAGGACUUGUUUCUAGGAGGCUCCCAUUUAAAAGUUU
This is a small nuclear RNA of Sarcophilus harrisii (Tasmanian devil), 122 nucleotides long. Its record names the gene U5. It matches the Rfam family "U5 spliceosomal RNA". Rfam says of the family: U5 RNA is a component of both types of known spliceosome. The precise function of this molecule is unknown, though it is known that the 5' loop is required for splice site selection and p220 binding, and that both the 3' stem-loop and the Sm site are important for Sm protein binding and cap methylation. Lineage: Eukaryota; Metazoa; Chordata; Mammalia; Dasyuromorphia; Dasyuridae. The record is from Ensembl.